RNAcentral lists this ribosomal RNA (2787 nucleotides) under Triticum aestivum (bread wheat). Its description in RNAcentral is "partial small subunit ribosomal RNA". The record is from RNAcentral. Lineage: Eukaryota; Viridiplantae; Streptophyta; Magnoliopsida; Poales; Poaceae.
AUGUUCAUGCCAAAAUCUCCCAUGGACACACUUCACUUCUCCUGCAUCCAAAUAGCCAUAGCCCUACUCUUGUUCACUCAAGCCAAUAGCACCACAGAGGGCAGCACAUCUGCCCUGCAUCCAAACGAUGCGAUUCCCAGCUGUGUUGCCGGUGAGAAGUCUGCCCUUCUUGCCUUCAGGGCAGGCCUAUCAGACCCUGCCAGCCUCCUUUCAUCAUGGAAGGGUGACGACUGCUGCCGAUGGAAUGGCGUCUAUAGCAGCAACACCACCAGCCAUGUUGUCAAGCUGGAUCUCCGAGGCCCUGAAGACGGAUGCGGUGUUGAGACUAGACAGGGGCUAGCAGGCAACAUAAGCUCCUCGUUGCUUGGUUUAAAAAAUCUAUGGUAUCUCGACCUCGGCUGCAACGGAUUCGACGAGAUACAGAUACCGGAGUUCAUGGGUUCUCGCCAUAAGUUGAGAUAUCUCGACCUAUCAGCCUCACUGUUCAUUGGAAGGAUACCGCCGCAGCUGGGUAAUCUCUCCAACUUACGGUACUUAAGUCUUGGGAAUGAGGAUACAUACUCCACUGAUAUCACCUGGUUGUCACGGUUGACUUCCCUUGAGCACCUAGAUAUGUCUGGGGUGAACCUCAGCACAAUUGUUCACUGGCUUCCAUUGGUGAAUAUGCUUCCAACUCUGAAAGUUCUUCGCCUUCCCCAUUGCCAGCUUAGAAUUAGCCCUGAUUCUCUAGAUAUCUCGAGCAAUGGUUUCUAUGGCCCGUUUCCAGAUGGGAUAGGUAAUAUGACCUCCAUUGUGGAGCUUGAUUUAUCAGAUAAUAACCUUGUGGGCAUGAUACCAUCCAACAUGAAGAACCUAUGUAAGUUGGAGACAUUAGAUUUUUCUGUGAACAAUAUCGACGGGAGUAUAGCAGAAUUAUUCCAUCGAUUACCCAGUUGUUCGCGGAAUAAACUACAAUGGUUGUCUCUACACGACAACAAUCUGACUGGAAGCCUACCAACUACACUAGUAGAGCCCUUGAGAAACCUGAACCAGCUGUAUCUCAGUGAUAACAAACUCACAGGUCAUGUCCCAGUGUGGAUAGGAGAGCUCAAACAGCUAACAAAUCUGGACCUUAGUUCUAACAACCUGGACGGGGUCAUACAUGAAGGUCAUUUAUCACGUCUAGAUAUGUUGGUGGAAUUGACAUUAUCAGACAACUCCAUAGCCAUCACAGUGAGCCCAACUUGGGUUCCUGCUUUCAGUCUAGGAAUAGUUGAACUUCGGUCCGGUCAGCUAGGGCCAAAAUUCCCAAUGUGGCUUAGAUGGCAAACACACGUAACGAGUCUUGAUAUAUCAAACACAAGCAUAAGCGAUAUAAUACCGGAUUGGUUUUGGACAGCGGCUUCCUCAGUAGAGUCUCUGAAUAUCCGAAAUAAUCAGAUUACAGGAUUCCUACCAUCAACAAUGGAAUUUAUGAGAGCAGAAGAAAUGGAUUUCAGUUCUAACCAGCUUGGUGGUCCAAUACCUAAGCUUCCCAUCACUCUAACCAACCUGGAUCUCAGUCGGAACAAUCUAGUUGGGCCACUACCAUUAGACUUUGGAGCGCCGGGGCUUAGGACACUUCUUCUAUAUAACAACAUGAUCUCUGGCGCCAUUCCAUCUUCUUUGUGCAGUUUGCGAGCAUUGAGGUUGUUAGAUCUAUCAAGAAAUGGUCUCAAUGGGUCAAUUACCGAUUGCCUAGUCAACGAGUCCAGCACAAACAUGACAGGCCUGGGUAUUGCCAAUCUAAGCUUAAGAAACAACAACCUCUCGGGUGAAUUUCCUUCACUUCUCCAGAAAUGUCCACGACUCAUCUUUCUUGAUCUCGGACAUAAUCAAUUCUCUGGGGCUUUACCAGCAUGGAUUGGGGAGAAGCUAUCAUCUUUGUCAUUCUUACGACUGAGAUCCAAUAUGUUUUAUGGUCACAUUCCAGACGAGCUUACGGAGCUUGUUAAUCUUCAAUACUUGGACCUUGGCUACAACAAUAUUUCAGGGAGCAUACCGAGAUCUAUUAUUAAUUGUACAGGCAUGACACAAACAAGAGACAAUGAUGAUCUUCAGGAUGCAUUCACUUUUGGAGUAUAUUCUGCUGGCAAUUACCUAGUUAACUAUACUGAGAAUUUAACAGUACUCACGAAAGGUCAAGAGAGAUUAUAUACAGGAGAAAUCAUAGAUAUGGUGAAUCUUGAUUUAUCCUGUAAUAGUCUUUCUGGAGAGAUCCCUGAAGAAAUCAGCGCUCUUGUAGCAUUGAAGAGCCUGAACUUAUCAUGGAACAACUUCAAUGGAAAAAUCCCUGAGAAUAUUGGCGCCUUAAUGCAGGUGGAGUCACUUGACCUAUCACACAAUGAUUUGUCCGGUGAAAUGCCUUCAAGCUUAUCGACUCUCACAUCAUUGAGUCGCCUGAACCUGUCCUACAACAAUCUGAGGGGGGAAAUACCGACUGGAAAUCAACUGCAAACACUCGAAGACCCGGCCUAUAUUUAUAUUGGCAACCCCGGCCUCUGUGGUCCUCCUCUCUCUGUAAAUUGUUCGUCACAGCCCGAGCCAAUUCCAGGAGAAAACCACGGAGAUGCAAGCGACGACUUGGUUUCGUUUUUCCUAGCCAUGGGCUCUGGAUAUGUGAUGGGUCUCUGGUUGGUCUUCUGUACCUUCUUAUUCAAGAGGAGAUGGAGAGUUUCGUGGUACUUGCUCUGUGACAGCCUGUAUGAUUGGGUUUAUGUGCAUGUGGCUAUUACCUGGAGUUCCUUGAGAGGUAAAAUCAAUGGGUAG